This 776-nucleotide ribosomal RNA is filed under the name uncultured Bacillus sp. Its description in RNAcentral is "bacterial SSU rRNA". It matches the Rfam family "Bacterial small subunit ribosomal RNA", at positions 27 to 780 of the family's 1533-position model. Lineage: Bacteria; Bacillati; Bacillota; Bacilli; Caryophanales; Bacillaceae. The record is from RNAcentral.
GGAUGAACGCUGGCGGCGUGCCUAAUACAUGCAAGUCGAGCGAAUGGAUUAAGAGCUUGCUCUUAUGAAGUUAGCGGCGGACGGGUGAGUAACACGUGGGUAACCUGCCCAUAAGACUGGGAUAACUCCGGGAAACCGGGGCUAAUACCGGAUAACAUUUUGAACUGCAUGGUUCAAAAUUGAAAGGCGGCUUCGGCUGUCACUUAUGGAUGGACCCGCGUCGCAUUAGCUAGUUGGUGAGGUAACGGCUCACCAAGGCAACGAUGCGUAGCCGACCUGAGAGGGUGAUCGGCCACACUGGGACUGAGACACGGCCCAGACUCCUACGGGAGGCAGCAGUAGGGAAUUUUCCGCAAUGGACGAAAGUCUGACGGAGCAACGCCGCGUGAGUGAUGAAGGCUUUCGGGUCGUAAAACUCUGUUGUUAGGGAAGAACAAGUGCUAGUUGAAUAAGCUGGCACCUUGACGGUACCUAACCAGAAAGCCACGGCUAACUACGUGCCAGCAGCCGCGGUAAUACGUAGGUGGCAAGCGUUAUCCGGAAUUAUUGGGCGUAAAGCGCGCGCAGGUGGUUUCUUAAGUCUGAUGUGAAAGCCCACGGCUCAACCGUGGAGGGUCAUUGGAAACUGGGAGACUUGAGUGCAGAAGAGGGAAAGUGGAAUUCCAUGUGUAGCGGUGAAAUGCGUAGAGAUAUGGAGGGAACACCAGUGGCCGAAGCGACUUUCUGGUCUGUAACUGACACUGAGGCGCGAAGGCGUGGGGGAGCAAACAGGAUUA